GUAUUACAAGGGUGAUCAAGGGUCGUUAGAUUGGAGUGUCUCUGGAGGUACCUGCGAGCUGUCUGGAGUGGCAUUGUGUAAAGCACAAUAUAUAUACAAGUUAAAAUGUCCAAAUUGUUUAUCCCAAGUACAGUCCAUACACUCAUGCUGCCUCUCAGCUAUGAACCUAAACCCUUCCAUACAAAACUACAAUUUGUGUAAACAUUGCAGCAAAUCAACUUCAGUGGCAGAGAUUAGUCACUAUAUUAGAGACGAUAAGUUCCUGACUUGACGACAUUAACUCUUAAUGACUUAACGACAUUAACUCUUAAUGACUUAAAAACUGGGACGGUGUUUGAUCUUUGUGUGGACAAUUGUCAUAUCAGUAUCGGGUGUAUAUUUAGUCAUUCAGCAUUUUAUCCUGUGAUGAUUUGUAAUUCUAUAUUUAUAUGAAUUCCAUAUACAACUGUCAUAAUUUCUGUGAUUUCUCUACACACGUUUAUGUGUAGUUUUAGAAUUACAUCCCCUUGUAAUUCAGUCUUCGGAUUAUUCCAACCCAUCUGUCCAUCAGCAUCAUCUUCUAAAGAAAUGGAAAAUGAUACUCAUUAUUUCCCUGAAUUGUAAAAAGAUUUUCUCAAGAGGGAUGACAUUUGUGAUGACAUUAAUAACACAGAGUUAGUGUAUGGAAGUGAUUUUCUCACUUGCUUCAUGGUUUAUAGAUUGAGCCUGAAAUACACGUCUCCAUAUGUCCUUAUUUAUAGUGUAUCAAACCUCCAUGUUAUGAGAUAUAUCAGGGUUUUACCUGGAGGUAAAAAACUGCAGGUCCAGGCGAUCCCCAUCAAUAAAUUUGACAGGGUCUUGUAGGUAAUAUGAGGGUCCAGUAAAGUAUUGAUAUGGUUCAGAUAAUUACUUCAGAGACUGGAAUGAAUCAGUGAUCAUGUGGACAAUGGUCGUGACUGAUGGUUGAUAUAACAGACACAGAUAACUUCUCUUGAUGCGCUGUAGGUAUAAUCUUAGUAUCUUUGUGCGUCUCUCUGGAUGUGGUGUUUGGGGUUUUCAGCCCCCAUUCUCUACAUUAGUGUGUACUGGACGGACAUUUGUGCGUAGCACAAAACCCGAAUAUAUAUCUGGGUCUCAUUUGGCACCAAAUUCCAGUCACAUUACCAGCUUGGUAAGCUGUUCUUUACAUCAGUGAUCCCAACAAGAGGCAAUGUCACCAGGGCUUGACUCGCCUUGUUGUGGCGUCACAGACUCAUGGUGGCAGAAGGAUUUGUCUCCCUUUCUUGACACUCAGGCAAAUAUCCUGUCUAUAUGAAGGUAAUGAAUCUUCGGAUUCAACUAUAUGCAUAUUAGGGGCUUGCUUAUGUUACAGUCUGGAAUGUAGAUGUAUACUAAUCAAUCAGCUGAUUGAAUGUUGAUUUCCAGGGUAUGAGGGAGAGAAAUUUUGGACUGAAAUAAAAAAUGGUAAUGGUGAUGUGACUGAUGUCAUCAGGGGCCAGGGUAUGACAAAAUAACGGAGAUAAAAUACCCUUGAUAAUGAACGAUGUACUUCAGUAGGUUUCAGAUCUGCAGAACUAGAAGAGUUUUUCACUGAGGCAUGGUGUAAUGUAUCAGGAAGAAGACUGUUUAGGUUUGUACAUGUAUGUGUAUUUGAUAAUGCAGCAUUAUUGAAUCUAGUCACGAUUAACAUUUGAUUCCUUUUGAAUUGUAGAUACUAUCAUGAAAUGUUCCAACUGAAAUAAUAUUCUCGAGAGAUGAGUGAUGUUAGGGUGGUGCAGAAUUGGGUACAAUCAAACCCAUGUUCACAACUAACCCUGUCGUGAUAUGUAACACUCAUAUUUAGUAAUGUUUACUUUGUGUAUCAUUAACAGAUCGUUUGACUAACACUGCAAGAACCCUGAGUAGUAAUUUACCUGCAAAUAUGGAGUUCAAAUCUGAAGACCCCCCGAGUUAGAAUUGAUCUUCAGUAACCCAUGCUUUUCGUAAGAGGCAACUAACAGGAUUGGGUGGUCAGGCUUGCUGACUUGGUUGACACAUGUCAUCGUAUCCCAAUUACGUAGAUCAAUG
This 2046-nucleotide long non-coding RNA is filed under the name Haliotis rubra (blacklip abalone). RNAcentral's name for it is "uncharacterized LOC124260643". Lineage: Eukaryota; Metazoa; Mollusca; Gastropoda; Lepetellida; Haliotidae. The record is from RNAcentral.